GGGCCCGCACAAGCGGUGGAGCAUGUGGUUUAAUUCGAUGCAACGCGAAGAACCUUACCAGGGCUUGACAUACUGCAGAUCUUUUUGAGAAAGAAGAGUGCCUUCGGGAAUGCAGAUACAGGUGGUGCAUGGCUGUCGUCAGCUCGUGUCGUGAGAUGUUGGGUUAAGUCCCGCAACGAGCGCAACCCUUAUUUUUAGUUACCAACUUGUUGGGUUCUCUAGAAAGACUGCCGGUGACAAACCGGAGGAAGGUGAGGAUGACGUCAAGUCAGCAUGCCCCUUAUGUCCUGGGCUACACACGUGCUACAAUGGUUAAGACAAAGAGUCGCGAGUUCGUGAGAACCAGCUAAUCUCGUAAACUUAGCCUAAGUUCAGAUUGUAGGCUGCAACUCGCCUACAUG
This 401-nucleotide ribosomal RNA is filed under the name uncultured bacterium. RNAcentral describes it as "bacterial SSU rRNA". It matches the Rfam family "Bacterial small subunit ribosomal RNA", at positions 917 to 1322 of the family's 1533-position model. The record is from RNAcentral.